Molecule: small RNA, 253 nt
Filed under: uncultured bacterium
Lineage: Bacteria
Description: contains 16S-23S intergenic spacer region
Rfam family: Bacterial small subunit ribosomal RNA
Source: RNAcentral
UACGGAGGGUGCAAGCGUUACUCGGAAUCACUGGGCGUAAAGCGCGCGCAGGCGGCCUUUUAAGUUGGAUGUGAAAGCCUAUGGCUCAACCAUAGAACUGCAUCCAAAACUAUCAGGCUAGAGUGUGGGAGAGGAAGAUGGAAUUAGUUGUGUAGGGGUAAAAUCCGUAGAGAUAACUAGGAAUACCAAAAGCGAAGGCAAUCUUCUGGAACAUUACUGACGCUGAGGCGCGAAAGCGUGGGGAGCAAACAGG